CGGGUGAGUAACACGUGGAUAACCUACCUAUAAGACUGGGAUAACUUCGGGAAACCGGAGCUAAUACCGGAUAAUAUAUUGAACCGCAUGGUUCAAUAGUGAAAGACGGUUUUGCUGUCACUUAUAGAUGGAUCCGCGCCGCAUUAGCUAGUUGGUAAGGUAACGGCUUACCAAGGCAACGAUGCAUAGCCGACCUGAGAGGGUGAUCGGCCACACUGGAACUGAGACACGGUCCAGACUCCUACGGGAGGCAGCAGAG
RNAcentral lists this ribosomal RNA (259 nucleotides) under uncultured Staphylococcus sp. RNAcentral describes it as "partial 16S ribosomal RNA". It matches the Rfam family "Bacterial small subunit ribosomal RNA", at positions 103 to 354 of the family's 1533-position model. Lineage: Bacteria; Bacillati; Bacillota; Bacilli; Caryophanales; Staphylococcaceae. The record is from RNAcentral.